RNAcentral lists this ribosomal RNA (497 nucleotides) under uncultured bacterium. Its description in RNAcentral is "partial 16S ribosomal RNA". It matches the Rfam family "Bacterial small subunit ribosomal RNA", at positions 28 to 507 of the family's 1533-position model. The record is from RNAcentral.
GAUGAACGCUGGCGGCGUGCCUAAUACAUGCAAGUCGAGCGAACAGAUAAGGAGCUUGCUCCUUUGAAGUUAGCGGCGGACGGGUGAGUAACACGUGGGUAACCUACCUAUAAGACUGGGAUAACUUCGGGAAACCGGAGCUAAUACCGGAUAACAUUUAGAACCGCAUGGUUCUAAAGUGAAAGAUGGUUUUGCUAUCACUUAUAGAUGGACCCGCGCCGUAUUAGCUAGUUGGUAAGGUAACGGCUUACCAAGGCGACGAUACGUAGCCGACCUGAGAGGGUGAUCGGCCACACUGGAACUGAGACACGGUCCAGACUCCUACGGGAGGCAGCAGUAGGGAAUCUUCCGCAAUGGGCGAAAGCCUGACGGAGCAACGCCGCGUGAGUGAUGAAGGGUUUCGGCUCGUAAAACUCUGUUAUUAGGGAAGAACAAAUGUGUAAGUAACUGUGCACAUCCUGACGGUACCUAAUCAGAAAGCCACGGCUAACUACGUG